CCUACGGGAGGCAGCAGUGGGGAAUAUUGGACAAUGGGGGCAACCCUGAUCCAGCCAUGCCGCGUGUGUGAAGAAGGCCUUUUGGUUGUAAAGCACUUUAAGCAGGGAGGAGAGGCUAAUGGUUAAUACCCAUUAGAUUAGACGUUACCUGCAGAAUAAGCACCGGCUAACUCUGUGCCAGCAGCCGCGGUAAUACAGAGGGUGCGAGCGUUAAUCGGAAUUACUGGGCGUAAAGCGAGUGUAGGUGGCUCAUUAAGUCACAUGUGAAAUCCCCGGGCUUAACCUGGGAACUGCAUGUGAUACUGGUGGUGCUAGAAUAUGUGAGAGGGAAGUAGAAUUCCAGGUGUAGCGGUGAAAUGCGUAGAGAUCUGGAGGAAUACCGAUGGCGAAGGCAGCUUCCUGGCAUAAUAUUGACACUGAGAUUCGAAAGCGUGGGUAGCAAACAGGAUUAGAUACCCUGGUAGUCCACGCCGUAAACGAUGUCUACUAGCCGUUGGGGUCCUUGAAGACUUUAGUGGNGCGAGUACGUACGAGUAAGUAGACGCCGCGGGAGGUACGGCCGCGACGUAAACGUAACGAAAGAAGUAGACGGCGUGAGACGAGCGACGGACGACGACGAGGGGAGGUAGG
This 630-nucleotide ribosomal RNA is filed under the name uncultured bacterium. RNAcentral describes it as "bacterial SSU rRNA". The stretch from base 1 to 546 matches the Rfam family "Bacterial small subunit ribosomal RNA", at positions 338 to 873 of the family's 1533-position model. The record is from RNAcentral.